Molecule: ribosomal RNA, 254 nt
Filed under: uncultured bacterium
Lineage: Bacteria
Description: partial 16S ribosomal RNA
Rfam family: Bacterial small subunit ribosomal RNA
Source: RNAcentral
UACGGAGGGUGCAAGCGUUAUCCGGAAUCACUGGGUUUAAAGGGUGCGUAGGCGGUGGCGUAAGUCAGUUGUGAAAUUCCCCGGCUUAACCGGCGGGACUGCGAUUGAUACUGCGUUACUUGAAUCAGGUUGAGGUAGGCGGAAUGUGACAUGUGGCGGUGAAAUGCUUAGAUAUGUCAUAGAACACCGAUUGCGAAGGCAGCUCGCUAAACUGUAACUGACGCUGAGGCACGAAAGCGUGGGGAUCGAACAGG